GGGGAAUUGUUCGCAAUGGGCGCAAGCCUGACGACGCAACGCCGCGUGGGGGAUGAAGGUCUUCGGAUUGUAAACCCCUGUUGGGUGGGACGAACACUUUCGUGGUGAAUAGCCAUGGAGGCUGACGGUACCACCUGAGGACGCCCCGGCUAACUCUGUGCCAGCAGCCGCGGUAAUACAGAGGGGGCAAGCGUUGUUCGGAAUUACUGGGCGUAAAGGGCGCGUAGGCGGCCUGUUAAGUCGGACGUGAAAUCCCUCGGCUCAACCGGGGAACUGCGUCCGAUACUGGCGGGCUUGAAUUCGGGAGAGGGAUGUGGAAUUCCAGGUGUAGCGGUGAAAUGCGUAGAUAUCCGGAGGAACACCGGUGGCGAAGGCGGCUUCCUGGACCGAUCACUGACGCUGAGGCGCGAAAGCUAGGGGAGCAAA
This 426-nucleotide ribosomal RNA is filed under the name uncultured bacterium. RNAcentral describes it as "bacterial SSU rRNA". It matches the Rfam family "Bacterial small subunit ribosomal RNA", at positions 356 to 772 of the family's 1533-position model. The record is from RNAcentral.